UCCCGAGUAGCGGCGAGCGAAAAGGGAGGAGCCCAGCGCCGAAUCCCCCGUCCGAGAGGGCGCGGGGAAAUGUGGCGUUCGGGAGUGAGCGUUAAGGCGUUCGGACGUGCAGCAAGUCCCCCUGACCGGGGCUGCUUCCCAAAGUGGGUGCGAGGCCCAUAGCUGCUGGUCCGGCGUCUCAUGCGAUCUCCCAGGAGUCGGGUUGCUUGGGAGUGCAACCCUAAGCGGGUGGUAAACUCCACCUAAGGCUAAAUACCGCCACGAAACCGAUAGCCAACAAGUACCGUGAGGGAAAGUUGCAAAGAACUUUGAAGAGAGAGUUUCAGGGUACGUGAAACUGCUCAGAGGGGAACGGGUGGGGCCUUGGAGUCCUGUGGCGGGAGGGUUUCGUUGGCCGUUCGGGACGGUUGCGGGGUUUUUCGGCCCGGAUUGGUUUCGGUUGGGGGGCCGGUUCCCCGGCCCGGUUUUUGGGGGGGACGCCGCAUUUCCUUCCCGUCCGAAGGACGCCGCAACCGGCUCGGACGCGGCCAUGAGGGCGGGAGACGGCAGGUGACUAGUGGCACUCCUCGUGGGUGCCGCCUGUUGUUAGCCAUUCCGCCGCACGGCACGCGGCUGGGCCGUGGUGACGCGAGGCCCUGCAUGGGCCUCUACGCCUCCUCCCCUCGGGAGCGGGACAGACGUUCGCAGAGGUUCGGGACGCGAGACGGGCGCACCGGCACGACCGGUGGCCGCGACUUGCACCGUCCUUGUUGGUGAGCGCGGACCCGCGGGAGACGCUGGCGGUAGC
RNAcentral lists this ribosomal RNA (787 nucleotides) under Cyatholipidae sp. GH1070. Its description in RNAcentral is "eukaryotic LSU rRNA". The stretch from base 1 to 291 matches the Rfam family "Eukaryotic large subunit ribosomal RNA", at positions 77 to 358 of the family's 3401-position model. The record is from RNAcentral. Lineage: Eukaryota; Metazoa; Arthropoda; Arachnida; Araneae; Cyatholipidae.